RNAcentral lists this long non-coding RNA (1124 nucleotides) under Sinocyclocheilus grahami. RNAcentral's name for it is "lncRNA (ENSSGRG00000012419.1)". Lineage: Eukaryota; Metazoa; Chordata; Actinopteri; Cypriniformes; Cyprinidae. The record is from RNAcentral.
CAGAAAGUUGUGAGUUACAAUGUGUCGAAAUACCAGAUGUUUUUUUUUUUAAUUUUCGGAAACACUGAAAAGUGAUGCACCUUGUCUCGGUUGUAGAGAAUUGCUGAAAAUAUGGCAAAACUAGAAGGUGGAGGGGGAAUUCCUGGUCCUCGGAAUCACUCUAUCCUAAGAGAACUACAAGCAGCAUUGCAAAGGGAACAGUCACUGAGGAAGAGAGUGGCAGCUUUACGUGAGUCGCUGGACUCGGCGCUCACAGACAGCACUACUCAGAGAAGGAUCAACAGAGAGGAGAUUGCGCGUCUCUCCCACUACUACAUUAAAGUUUCAAGCACCUACAGAAGUUCUCGAAAGAAGCACCAGGAGCAGCUGUGGUGACUGGAGAAGCAAAUCGCAGUAAUGGGUGAACGACAUGCUAAAGAAGAGGCCGAGCUAAGUACUACACUAGAAGCUAUGGAGUGGAGGAGAGAGGAGACAAUACUCUAGACAGUGCAGUUCUUCUUGGUAUCAUUUUAUUGACAAACAUUUAUGAAAGCUAAUGAUGAACAUUGAUUUUGAGUGAGGUUGGGCAGAAACACUGAGCAUAUAGAUCAUUGACCUACAAAACUAAAAUUGCAGCACCAGGAUGCACCAUUUGUCAAUAAGGUAAUUGCUUUGCUGGCUCCUAUUGGUGUAGAUGCAGCAUCACUCAAAAGUUUGGUUACCUACCUGAUUGUAGGAAUACUCUUCAAAGGCAUAUUUUUCUCCCAUGUGAAAAAGUUUAACUGAACAUUUAUUAGCCAUUUUGACAGUUUGCUGGAAUGUACAUCAUGUAAGUAGACAAGUAGCCAAGUGCAAAGACUGCAAGUAUACCUAUUGGGAAAGACCAGCUAUUCUAGGCCUUGAUAUUACUAAUAUAUCUCUAUAUCAUCAUGUCAGUGUACAUCAUUUUACAAAUAUUUGCUUGUAAGUAUUAUUCCUUUCUAUUUGUACAGAAACAUGUAUGUGAAAAAUUGCAUGCGAAUUUUGUGUAUCAUUUUAAAAGUUAUGUUUUUUUUUGCAUAAUGAAUAAAACAGUUACAGUUUUGAUGUAGUUUAAAAACUACUGUGACCUGGUAGUUUGCUGUAUGAAAGCAGGCAGCAACAAC